This 783-nucleotide long non-coding RNA is filed under the name Brachypodium distachyon (stiff brome). RNAcentral's name for it is "long non-coding RNA (BDIS_LNC005096)". The record is from RNAcentral. Lineage: Eukaryota; Viridiplantae; Streptophyta; Magnoliopsida; Poales; Poaceae.
GGGCGGCCGGGCUGGCGGGGCCGGUCAGGCGCGGUCGGACUGGGCCAGUUCGGCCCAAAGCGGCCGGGCCGGUCCGGUUUACCCUUUUUUUUUCUUUUAGACCUUUUCUUUUUUCUAUUUUUCUCAUUUCUUUGAUAUCUUUUGAGUUUGAACUCCAAAUUGGUCCAAAUAAAUUCCAGAAAAUUUGUAAAAUCAUGUUCUACCAAGAUACAACUUUUGGAAGUAGUUUCUCUUCAAAAUAAAAUAUGUUAAAAUACAUUUGCCCUAUAAAUGCCUUUAGGGCCAUAUAUCUAUUUAAAUAAAAUACUUUUUCAACUCCAAAUAAUUAUCCAAAACUUAUGGGAUAGCUCAUAUGUGCAAUAAACCCCUUUUAUAUAUAAACUUUAAUGGUUUGAAGAUCCAAAGCUCAAAUAGGUGUAAACAAAAUCUUUUAAAGCCUUUUGUGAUUCAAAUUUGAAUUCAAACAUGCAAUUGUGGCAUGAUGCUCAUGGAUGCAAUGCACAUGUAAAGGUUUGAAAUUUUGGGAUGUUACACUGCGUUAGCUCUCUCUGCCUGUCCGUUGCUCCUCGGGGGAGCAACAGAGGCGAAGUGGAUCUUGGUGCCCAUGCCGUUGCAGUAAGCUUGGAACACGGCGCUUGUAAAUUGUGUGCCAUUAUCGGUGAUGAUGCCGUUGGGCACACCAAACCGGCACACAAUGCCCUUGAAGAACUUGAUGGCCGCCUGAGCGGUCACCUUCCGCACUGCUUCCACCUCCACCUUCCGAACUUGUCGAUGGCCACGAGU